GACGAACGCUGGCGGCGUGCUUAACACAUGCAAGUCGAACGGAAAGGCCCUGCUUUUGUGGGGUGCUCGAGUGGCGAACGGGUGAGUAACACGUGAGUAACCUGCCCUUGACUUUGGGAUAACUUCAGGAAACUGGGGCUAAUACCGGAUAGGAGCUCCUGCUGCAUGGUGGGGGUUGGAAAGUUUCGGCGGUUGGGGAUGGACUCGCGGCUUAUCAGCUUGUUGGUGGGGUAGUGGCUUACCAAGGCUUUGACGGGUAGCCGGCCAGAGAGGGUGACCGGCCACAAUGGGACUGAGAUACGGCCCAGACUCCUACGGGAGGCAGCAGUGGGGAAUAUGGCGCAAUGGGCGGAAGCCUGAGGCAGCGACGCCGCGGGCGGGAUGAAGGGCUUCGGGUUGUAAACCGCUUUCGCAUGUGACGAAGCGUGAGUGACGGUAAUGGGUAAAGAAGCACCGGCUAACUACGUG
Molecule: ribosomal RNA, 468 nt
Filed under: uncultured bacterium
Lineage: Bacteria
Description: partial 16S ribosomal RNA
Rfam family: Bacterial small subunit ribosomal RNA
Source: RNAcentral